Molecule: ribosomal RNA, 396 nt
Filed under: uncultured bacterium
Lineage: Bacteria
Description: partial 16S ribosomal RNA
Rfam family: Bacterial small subunit ribosomal RNA
Source: RNAcentral
AUACGUAAGGAGCGAGCGUUGUCCGGAAUUACUGGGUGUAAAGGGAGCGUAGGCGGGAGUGCAAGUCAGAUGUGAAAUACAUGGGCUCAACCCAUGGGCUGCAUUUGAAACUGCAUUUCUUGAGUGAAGUAGAGGUAAGCGGAAUUCCUGGUGUAGCGGUGAAAUGCGUAGAUAUCAGGAGGAACACCGGUGGCGAAGGCGGCUUACUGGGCUUUUACUGACGCUGAGGCUCGAAAGCGUGGGGAGCAAACAGGAUUAGAUACCCUGGUAGUCCACGCUGUAAACGAUGAUUACUAGGUGUGGGGGGACUGACCCCUUCCGUGCCGCAGUUAACACAAUAAGUAAUCCACCUGGGGAGUACGGCCGCAAGGUUGAAACUCAAAUGAAUUGACGGGG